CGCCAGCCACACUGCCGCCGCGAUCUGCGAUCCCGGUCACUUCCUUCCUUCCUUCCUCCCGAGACUGCUCGUCUACUCUCCAACUGGAAACCCGGAAGCCUGUCCACUCGCAAUCACCUGGCAUGCAGCUCGUAGCAGCGCCUGGCCCUCGAUCGCCUCGAGCACGCGUCGUCCCGGGGGCCAUGAAACCCAUCGCCAUCGGCGCUCCCUUCAUCUGCGCUCUGCUGCUCCUGCAUUGCCUGGUCGGCGCACCAGCAGCGCCGGCAGAUCGCGGUGGCGGCGCGGCGCCGUCGUCGGCGUCGAGCGGUGGCUUCCGGUUCCGGCCGCGGAAGCUGCUGCGGGAUGCGGUCGCAAGAGCAGCGGGCGCGCAGGUGCUAAACGCUGCCGCCGCCGCCGCCGCAGCGGCGGCGGGGGAGAGCCGCGGAGUGGGCGCGAGCCUGAAAAAGCAGACGCCGAGCAAGUCGAAUCCGAAGCAGAAUUAGCAAGAGCUGAGGAAAGAUUUAGGGGAGCGUUUUUCAGAUAUAGAUGUCUGUAUUUCGUUUCUCGCGUUUUGGAGUUGUAAUUCGUAACAGUUUAGAAUAACUCCAACAGCCUAGAUAAAUUUAUUUUGUUCUGUAAAAUUAAAAUUAAACCGAGUUCCAACAGUCUUUGUAUACGCCUCACUUCUCUAUCGAGUCGCUAUCCCCCAUUGCUAGCUAUCUAUACCAAGCAGCUCGGACUCGCCAUCAGCCCCGUCGCGCGCGCCAGCCGAGUUCCCGCGCCUCCCUCGCGCUCCCGCGCCCCUGCCGCCCUCGCACUUCUUCUCCCUCGCGCCGCCGCCGUCGCGCCGUGCCCACUCCCGCGUGCAGUCGCCGUCGCGCCCUAGCCCGCACCCAGGCCGUGCCGCCGUCACGCCCUGCCGCCAUCGCCUCGCCAUGUUUAGGCCUUUCGUCCCCGUUCAACGCCGGCUGGGGAAGGGGGUGGCGGACCGUGGGAUGGAUCCGCCCGUAGUGUUUCGCUAUCCCAAUUUGUGGCAAGAAGGGUGGAUCCGGAGGGAGCUGGUGAUGAAUCCGGCGUCGGAUCGAUGCGCCGUCGUGUGCUUCUUCCCACGAGCUUCCAUGGCCGGCUGCCAGAUAAUCUGCUGAGUAUCGAUUCAUUCGACGUGGAGGAGGCCUACACUGGUACACUGGCACUGUCGCACGUCGUGAGGGGUCGAUGGAAAAAAAAGGAAUCGCCAGGAAGGACAGUCUGAUUUGAAUGUGGAUCUUUUAUUUGAAUAUGGAGUGUCUAAUUUGGAGAGUGUUGUUUCCCCACCAUUUAGGAAGUCUUCUAUUUUCUUUUUCUUAGAGGCCUUCUAAAAUUCUAAAUUUACCUAGUAUUUUAUCUAGACUCUUGGAAUUCCUCUUAGAAGCGGCGAUCGCCUGAUUCUGUUUUCCUCAUUCAGCUUUGGCAAAGUGUUUUUUAAAGAAAACUUUGGCAAAGUUUUGACAUUUCCCAUCAUUGUCCAUAAGAUGAAGCCCGUUUUCUCUUUGCUGUAA
This is a long non-coding RNA of Panicum hallii, 1517 nucleotides long. RefSeq lists it as uncharacterized. The transcript has 2 exons. The record is from RefSeq and is a predicted model, not a curated record. Lineage: Eukaryota; Viridiplantae; Streptophyta; Magnoliopsida; Poales; Poaceae.